UACGUAGGGUGCAAGCGUUAAUCGGAAUUACUGGGCGUAAAGCGUGCGCAGGCGGCUUCUCAAGUCAGGGGUGAAAGCCCAGAGCUCAACUCUGGAACUGCCUUUGAGACUGAGAGGCUUGAGUACGGGAGAGGUGAGUGGAAUUCCCAGUGUAGAGGUGAAAUUCGUAGAUAUUGGGAAGAACACCGGUGGCGAAGGCGGCUCACUGGCCCGUAACUGACGCUCAUGCACGACAGCGUGGGGAUCAAACAGG
This 253-nucleotide ribosomal RNA is filed under the name uncultured bacterium. RNAcentral describes it as "partial 16S ribosomal RNA". It matches the Rfam family "Bacterial small subunit ribosomal RNA", at positions 524 to 776 of the family's 1533-position model. The record is from RNAcentral.